Long non-coding RNA from Mesocricetus auratus (golden hamster), 718 nucleotides. RefSeq lists it as uncharacterized. The record is from RefSeq and is a predicted model, not a curated record. The transcript has 4 exons. Lineage: Eukaryota; Metazoa; Chordata; Mammalia; Rodentia; Cricetidae.
CUCCUCUACACAAGCUUCCCCCCGGGAUUUCGGAGCUGAACUCCCUGUGUGAACUCUUGAAUCACCCCUGCUCUUCUCCCAGCCCCAGUGUAAAGAUAAUGGGAAAGUAAAAGUCCACACGGUUGGAUCUACAUUACUGUGUUCCUGUGCAUUUAAGGCCUAUAUAGGUCCCCAGUGCCUGCUUAGAGGCAAUAUGAACAGCUGUCUCCAGCUCACCCGCAAGCAAGCUGAACAUAAUAAGAAGGUCGUGUUAGUAUCCUGCAUCUAGCAAUGAUUGGGCAGAGGUUUCCAGCUCUUUUUCAUUGGAGAUAAGAAGGGGAACACAUUUACAAAUGGAAGAAUGAAGCACACUGCAGAGAGGAAUCUCCAGAUGUCUAUUAUACAGACAGGGAAUUUGUUGAAAUGCACACCAGGAAUGGAGUCCUGUGAGAAGCCUGAGUGUUUGUGAGAAAACUCCAAGAAAACAAGGCAAGAAUCUUGUGACCUCAGUUUCUUCAAGUAACAAAAUUAUUCUUGGAAUGUGUUUUCAUGAUCCUCUCAGGAGUAACAGAUAAAAGUUGGUUUACUUCAUCUGUUGUUAUUUAUAUGACUCUGGGUGAAGCAUAUUUUGUUAUGUGUGACUCUUCUUUUUUAUUGUACACAUUACUCAGGUGACUCUUCUUAACCUUCAGAAUGUAAGUUGUCUGAUACUCUAAAUAAAGUUGCCUAUUGCAUGAGA